CACAGCAGGGCUUGCAAGGAAAGCCAGGAAUUACAUUCAUAGUCACGGAACAAAAAUAUAUUGUUUAAGUAUUCCGUAAACCAAAAUGCUUUUAGCUGAAGAUGCUCAGAUCUUACAGGAUACAUUUUGUUGAUAAAAAUUCUCCACAGAGGCUACAGUGACUACCUUACACUGCAGAGAUUGUGGUAUGUUGCUGGACAAUUUGAAAACAGAAAAUAGCAGGUAUGUUUGUGAUGAAAUGUUAAGCUGCUUUCUGAGUGAUAUAAAUGAUCUCUUUUUCUUGACUAGAUAUUGAAAGAAACAGCCAGUAGACCUACAAAGACAGGGAACCUCUCAGAAGCCAAAGGAGAGGCUUUUUACUUUUACAGGUGAAAUGAAAGGCAUUUUGCCCCUCCUUUCACUCUGCAGUGGUGAGCUUUCACCAGGAGAAGGGUAAUCAUUCUAGGUGUUUGAAGGCAAAAAUUGAGAUCUCCUGAACUCCUCAUGUGGUCUGCUCUUCCUUGGGUGGAACAUCUACUGCUAGAGUAAAUUGUUGUCAUAUUGAAGUUGACAAUCUGUGUUGAUAAUAUUUCAUAUUAUACGGACAUUAAAAUUACACAAA
Molecule: long non-coding RNA, 601 nt
Organism: Pezoporus occidentalis (night parrot)
Lineage: Eukaryota; Metazoa; Chordata; Aves; Psittaciformes; Psittacidae
Exons: 2
Source: RefSeq, a predicted model, not a curated record